GCCAGCAGCAUACCACCCUGCAUCUCACUGCUGGCUUGCUUCUGAAGCUAAGCAGGGUUGGUCCUGGUCGGGAGACCAGAUGCUGCUGGAA
Molecule: ribosomal RNA, 91 nt
Filed under: Hucho hucho (huchen)
Lineage: Eukaryota; Metazoa; Chordata; Actinopteri; Salmoniformes; Salmonidae
Source: RNAcentral